GAAACAAAAUUGAAACAGACUCACAGAUUGCAGACAGGCCUCUGGAAUAGUGUCCUCUGGGAUAUUGUUUAUCCCCAGGAAGAGGAAAUUAUGGUAUACAUCUCUCAAAGAUACUUAUUUCUGCCCUGGCUGGUUUGGCCCAGCAGUUAGAGCAUCGGCCUAUGGAUGGAAGGGUUGC
Molecule: long non-coding RNA, 178 nt
Organism: Molossus molossus (Pallas's mastiff bat)
Lineage: Eukaryota; Metazoa; Chordata; Mammalia; Chiroptera; Molossidae
Exons: 3
Source: RefSeq, a predicted model, not a curated record